This 492-nucleotide ribosomal RNA is filed under the name uncultured bacterium. Its description in RNAcentral is "partial 16S ribosomal RNA". It matches the Rfam family "Bacterial small subunit ribosomal RNA", at positions 29 to 507 of the family's 1533-position model. The record is from RNAcentral.
AGUGAACGCUGGCGGUAGGCCUAACACAUGCAAGUCGAACGGCAGCACAGUAAGAGCUUGCUCUUACGGGUGGCGAGUGGCGGACGGGUGAGGAAUACAUCGGAAUCUACUUUUUCGUGGGGGAUAACGUAGGUAAACUUACGCUAAUACCGCAUACGACCUACGGGUGAAAGCAGGGGAUCUUCGGACCUUGCGCGAUUGAAUGAGCCGAUGUCGGAUUAGCUAGUUGGCGGGGUAAAGGCCCACCAAGGCGACGAUCCGUAGCUGGUCUGAGAGGAUGAUCAGCCACACUGGAACUGAGACACGGUCCAGACUCCUACGGGAGGCAGCAGUGGGGAAUAUUGGACAAUGGGCGCAAGCCUGAUCCAGCCAUACCGCGUGGGUGAAGAAGGCCUUCGGGUUGUAAUGCCCUUUUGUUGGGAAAGAAAAGCAGCAGGUUAAUACCACGCUGUUCUGACGGUACCCAAAGAAUAAGCACCGGCUAACUUCGUG